RNAcentral lists this ribosomal RNA (315 nucleotides) under uncultured eukaryote. Its description in RNAcentral is "partial 18S ribosomal RNA". It matches the Rfam family "Eukaryotic small subunit ribosomal RNA", at positions 1470 to 1796 of the family's 1831-position model. The record is from RNAcentral.
CCCUUAGAUGUUCUGGGCUGCACGCGCGCUACACUGACGCACGCAACAGGUGCCUGCUCCGAGAGGACUGGGUAAUCAUUUGAGUGUGCGUCGUGAUGGGGAUAGAAUAUUGUAAUUAUUACUCUUCAACGAGGAAUUCCUAGUAAGCGCCAGUCAGCAGCUUGCGCUGAUUACGUCCCUGCCCUUUGUACACACCGCCCGUCGCUCCUACCGAUGGGGGAUCCGGUGAAUGAUUCGGACUUCAGCGGCUCCCCUGGGGUGCGCCGGAGAAAGUUUUGUGAACCUUAUCACUUGGAGGAAGGAGAAGUCGUAACA